This 797-nucleotide long non-coding RNA is filed under the name Anas platyrhynchos platyrhynchos (common mallard). Its description in RNAcentral is "lncRNA (ENSAPLG00000022321.1)". The record is from RNAcentral. Lineage: Eukaryota; Metazoa; Chordata; Aves; Anseriformes; Anatidae.
AUGCAGCUCUGGAGCAGCCUGAUCCCAGAUCAGGCAGCUGCACCAUACCACAGUCAGCCUUCAGCACAGGCUGCCAAACCUCCAGGAAGGAUGAAGAGGUUGACACCGAGGUUGAUCACAGACAUCAGGGUCUGUACAUCCUUCCUUAGCUUUAUUCUGAUUGCAGCUCCAGCUGAGGAAAGAAGAACAGAAGGUAUUUCUCUGUCUGCAGCAGAAAAAAAUGAUCUCAUCCAGGGAUCACAUGAAGAAUUAGCUAGGAGGGUGAGAGGAAGAGCUACAAGACUGGAGACAGAAGGAAUGGCCACAGCAGAGCUAUGCAGCUGGAAGAAAGUGAGGGCCCUGUGCCAGAAGAAACCAGAGGAGCUGUAUGAAGACAGGAGCUGUCCAAGCAGACUGCUUUUUCUUCACUAGAAUUUAACAAUAUCUUUAUGCCAUAUAUCAACCAGAAAAGAAGAUGGCUGUAUCUGGGAUAUGUGUGAGUAACUGGAAGGAAGAAACUCCAGUGUUAAAAGUAUAUUCAGAAGCAGAAGUGCACAGAAAAAGGGUGAAAAAAAAAAGGGCAUCCUCUGCUGAACACUGGUAAUGCUUAUGGGACUUGGUAUCGUGGAGAGGAUGAUGAUAGCUGCUCCAAGAGAUCAGAGGGCGAGGGGCUGCGCCGUGCCUGCCUGAGCCGCAGGUCCGUGACCAAGGACAGCUCCCGCUCAGCCAUGGGACACUUCUCUCUGGGACUCCAGAGCACAGAUGCUCUGUUCCUGCUCGGAAGUCUGCUUUGGAACCAGCAGCUGUGACUUCCGAAA